This 253-nucleotide ribosomal RNA is filed under the name uncultured bacterium. Its description in RNAcentral is "partial 16S ribosomal RNA". It matches the Rfam family "Bacterial small subunit ribosomal RNA", at positions 524 to 776 of the family's 1533-position model. The record is from RNAcentral.
UACGUAGGGGGCGAGCGUUGUCCGGAAUUAUUGGGCGUAAAGAGCGUGUAGGCGGUCCGGUAAGUCAGCUGUGAAAGUCAAGGGCUCAACCCUUGAAUGCCGGUUGAUACUGUCGGGCUAGAGUCCGGAAGAGGCGAGUGGAAUUCCCGGUGUAGCGGUGAAAUGCGCAGAUAUCGGGAGGAACACCAAUGGCGAAGGCAGCUCGCUGGGACGAUACUGACGCUGAGACGCGAAAGCGUGGGGAGCAAACAGG